ACACUGCAGGUGGCUGAGGGAACAGGAUCUCUAAUGUGGAAAUAAUAGAAACUGACACGUAUGCAUGCAGAGUUCUGACGGCUCAUACACCAAGGUGUGCUGUUGGGCCACUUUCUGUAGGCCAAAACAAGAUGAGUGACAAGCCACGCCUCUCUCUACCACCACUCCAGCUACAACCCCCCUCCCCAACUUCUCCUUGAAUAUUGAGAGCAGCGAGGAAAUUUGCAAGAGACUUGCCAACCUCGGCAGACCUUGCCUCAAGACACAAAGACAACAACAGCGUCACCUCACCUCUAAAGCUUCGACUCUCCAGAACCCCCUUUUCAUGUCAAUCCCCACCUGGGUGCCAUUGGGGUUAACAUCUGGAUCAGAGGGAGACAAUCAUGGAGAGACUCCUCUUGUGACCUGGGUGUACUUAUCCCUCCCCACGCCUGUCGACCCUGAGAGGAAGUGAUUCGCCGGCCGAGUGACCUCCCCUGGUGGCCCUUCCUGUCCCCAUGUUGCCUCGUAGGAAGGAAGGAUGCGGUCUGUUGUCCUCAGGCGGCGCUCAAUCACUCUCCCCUCCUCGGCCUGACGGGAAAAACCAGAUUAUUGAUUCCAGGCUCGUCUCUGCUCAUGCUCGCUUAUUUUUGUCUCUUCCAUUUUUCAUCCGCUUUCUUGUCUCAGCAUCAGCUUGGUCCCACUUUCAUCCCCUUUCUUCGUCUGCCAUUUUUAAUGUGUCCCUUUGAAAAGAUAGAACACUGUAAACAUUAACAAAGCGCAACAAUUCCCACCCAAUUAAACUCAAGAGACUGACAAGUGAUUUACUGGCCUGUGCUUUGACUUUUCUGCCUCACAUAUGUUUAAUUGUCUUGUUGUUGUUUUAUUGGCCAUACAUUAACAUUAAAUAUGACAUGUAUUUCAUGUGGUGGAAAAGUC
Long non-coding RNA from Fundulus heteroclitus (mummichog), 918 nucleotides. RefSeq lists it as uncharacterized. NCBI's taxonomy places the organism in Eukaryota, Metazoa, Chordata, Actinopteri, Cyprinodontiformes, Fundulidae. The transcript has 3 exons. The record is from RefSeq and is a predicted model, not a curated record.